AUUGAACGCUGGCGGCAGGCCUAACACAUGCAAGUCGAACGAGUGGCGGACGGGUGAGUAAUGUCUGGGAAACUGCCCGAUGGAGGGGGAUAACUACUGGAAACGGUAGCUAAUACCGCAUACCAUCGGAUGUGCCCAGAUGGGAUUAGCUAGUAGGUGGGGUAAGGGCUCACCUAGGCGACGAUCCCUAGCUGGUCUGAGAGGAUGACAGGCCACACUGGAACUAGACAACGGUCCAGACCCCUACGGGAGGAAGCAGGGGGGAAUAUUGGACAAUGGGCGAAAGCCUGUACCAGCCAUGCGGGGUGUGUGAAGAAGGUCUUCGGAUUGUAAAGCACUUUAAGUGGGGAGACGUUACCAACAGAAUAAGCACCGGCUAACUCCGUGCCAGCAGCGCCGGUAAUC
RNAcentral lists this ribosomal RNA (405 nucleotides) under uncultured bacterium. Its description in RNAcentral is "partial 16S ribosomal RNA". It matches the Rfam family "Bacterial small subunit ribosomal RNA", at positions 30 to 525 of the family's 1533-position model. The record is from RNAcentral.